This 295-nucleotide ribosomal RNA is filed under the name Klebsiella pneumoniae. RNAcentral's name for it is "partial 16S ribosomal RNA". It matches the Rfam family "Bacterial small subunit ribosomal RNA", at positions 1238 to 1532 of the family's 1533-position model. Lineage: Bacteria; Pseudomonadati; Pseudomonadota; Gammaproteobacteria; Enterobacterales; Enterobacteriaceae. RNAcentral also lists the same sequence under 1 other name. The record is from RNAcentral.
UACAAAGAGAAGCGACCUCGCGAGAGCAAGCGGACCUCAUAAAGUAUGUCGUAGUCCGGAUUGGAGUCUGCAACUCGACUCCAUGAAGUCGGAAUCGCUAGUAAUCGUAGAUCAGAAUGCUACGGUGAAUACGUUCCCGGGCCUUGUACACACCGCCCGUCACACCAUGGGAGUGGGUUGCAAAAGAAGUAGGUAGCUUAACCUUCGGGAGGGCGCUUACCACUUUGUGAUUCAUGACUGGGGUGAAGUCGUAACAAGGUAACCGUAGGGGAACCUGCGGUUGGAUCACCUCCUU